RNAcentral lists this ribosomal RNA (575 nucleotides) under uncultured delta proteobacterium. RNAcentral describes it as "bacterial SSU rRNA". It matches the Rfam family "Bacterial small subunit ribosomal RNA", at positions 117 to 668 of the family's 1533-position model. The record is from RNAcentral. Lineage: Bacteria; Deltaproteobacteria.
GUAGGUAACGUACCUUGGAGUCCGGGAUAACCAGUCGAAAGACUGGCUAAUACCGGAUACGACUGUGGGGGCUCCGGCUUCCGCAGUGAAAGAUGGCCUCUAUUUAUGCGCUAUCACUCCUUGAUCGGCCUGCGCACCAUUAGCUAGUUGGUGAGGUAAUGGCUCACCAAGGCUGAGAUGGUUAGCUGGUCUGAGAGGAUGGCCAGCCACACUGGGACUGAGACACGGCCCAGACUCCUACGGGAGGCAGCAGUGGGGAAUAUUGCGCAAUGGGGGAAACCCUGACGCAGCGACGCCGCGUGGGUGAUGAAGGCCUUCGGGUCGUAAAGCCCUGUCGGGAGGGAAGAAAGAGCUCGGGCCUAAUAUGCCCGGGAAUUGACGGUACCUCCUAAGGAAGCACCGGCUAACUCCGUGCCAGCAGCCGCGGUAAUACGGAGGGUGCUAGCGUUGUUCGGAAUCACUGGGCGUAAAGGGCGUGUAGGCGGUCUGUUAAGUCUGAUGUGAAAUCCCCUCGCUCAACGAGGGAACUGCGUCGGAUACUGGCAGACUCGAGUACCGGAGAGGAAGGUGGAAUU